UGUGAGGUCUGGUCAGCAGCAGUGGUAAGGCGGUGGGUGGGGGCGUUAAUCUGAAGUACUGGGCGUAAAGGGUGCGCAGGCGGCUCCGCAUGUCGGGCGUGAAAGCCCCUGGCUUAACCUGGGAAUUGCGUCCGAAACUAUGGAGCUGGAGUGUGGCAGAGGGAUGUGGAAUUCCACGUGUAGCGGUGAAAUGCGUAGAGAUGUGGAGGAACACCGAUGGCGAAGGCAGCCUCCUGGGCCAACACUGACGCUCAUGCACGAAAGCGUGGGGAGCAAACAGGAUUAGAUACCCUGGUAGUC
This 300-nucleotide ribosomal RNA is filed under the name uncultured Paenibacillus sp. RNAcentral describes it as "bacterial SSU rRNA". It matches the Rfam family "Bacterial small subunit ribosomal RNA", at positions 495 to 795 of the family's 1533-position model. Lineage: Bacteria; Bacillati; Bacillota; Bacilli; Caryophanales; Paenibacillaceae. The record is from RNAcentral.